GAUGAACGCUGGCGGCGUGCUUAACACAUGCAAGUCGAACGGAAAGGCUCCUGCCUGCAGGGGUACUCGAGUGGCGAACGGGUGAGUAACACGUGGGUGAUCUGCCCUGUACUUCGGGAUAAGCUUGGGAAACUGGGUCUAAUACCGGAUAUGACAAUCUCUUGGAUGGGGUUGUGGAAAGCUUUUGCGGUAUGGGAUGAGCUCGCGGCCUAUCAGCUUGUUGGUGGGGUAAUGGCCUACCAAGGCGUCGACGGGUAGCCGGCCUGAGAGGGUGUACGGCCACAUUGGGACUGAGAUACGGCCCAGACUCCUACGGGAGGCAGCAGUGGGAAUAUUGCACAAUGGGCGCAAGCCUGAUGCAGCGACGCCGCGUGGGGGAUGACGGCCUUCGGGUUGUAAACUCCUUUCGCAACCGACGAAGCUUUUGUGACGGUAGGUUGAGAAGAAGCACCGGCUAACUACGUG
RNAcentral lists this ribosomal RNA (465 nucleotides) under uncultured bacterium. RNAcentral describes it as "partial 16S ribosomal RNA". It matches the Rfam family "Bacterial small subunit ribosomal RNA", at positions 28 to 507 of the family's 1533-position model. The record is from RNAcentral.